UACGGGGGGGGCAAGCGUUGUUCGGAAUUACUGGGCGUAAAGGGUUCGUAGGUGGCUUGCUAAGUCAGACGUGAAAUCCCUCAGCUUAACUGGGGAACUGCGUCUGAGACUGGAAGGCUUGAGUGCAGGAGAGGAACGCGGAAUUCCAGGUGUAGCGGUGAAAUGCGUAGAUAUCUGGAGGAACACCGGUGGCGAAGGCGGCGUUCUGGACUGCAACUGACACUGAGGAACGAAAGCCAGGGGAGCAAACGGG
RNAcentral lists this ribosomal RNA (253 nucleotides) under uncultured bacterium. RNAcentral's name for it is "partial 16S ribosomal RNA". It matches the Rfam family "Bacterial small subunit ribosomal RNA", at positions 524 to 776 of the family's 1533-position model. The record is from RNAcentral.